This 89-nucleotide unclassified non-coding RNA is filed under the name Pseudomonas sp. NFACC14. The record is from RNAcentral. Lineage: Bacteria; Pseudomonadati; Pseudomonadota; Gammaproteobacteria; Pseudomonadales; Pseudomonadaceae.
UGUGGGAGCGAGCUUGCUCGCGAUAGCGUCAGUUCAGUCAGCCUUGAUGCGACUGAUACGCCGCUAUCGCGAGCAAGCUCGCUCCCACA